UGGGAGCCUGAGCAUCACUGAGAAGAUGGGU
This 31-nucleotide non-coding RNA is filed under the name Mus musculus (house mouse). The record is from RNAcentral. Lineage: Eukaryota; Metazoa; Chordata; Mammalia; Rodentia; Muridae.